Molecule: ribosomal RNA, 402 nt
Filed under: uncultured bacterium
Lineage: Bacteria
Description: bacterial SSU rRNA
Rfam family: Bacterial small subunit ribosomal RNA
Source: RNAcentral
AAUGGGGGAAACCCUGAAGCAGCAACGCCGCGUGAAGGAUGAAGGGCUUUUGCUUGUAAACUUCUGUAGUGAGGGAAAAAACUUCCACUCUGUGGAAUAUGAUGGUACCUCAAAAGUAAGCCCCGGCUAACUACGUGCCAGCAGCCGCGGUAAUACGUAGGGGGCAAACGUUGUCCGGAUUUACUGGGUGUAAAGGGUGCUCAGGCGGUUUUGUAAGUCAGAAGUGAAAUCCUAGAGCUUAACUCUGGAACUGCUUUUGAUACUGCAAGGCUUGAAUGUGGAAGAGGAGGAUGGAAUUUCUGGUGUAGCAGUGAAAUGCGUAGAUAUCAGAAAGAACACCAGUGGCGAAGGCGGUCCUCUGGUCCACUAUUGACGCUAAAGCACGAAAGCGUGGGGAGCAAA